RNAcentral lists this ribosomal RNA (246 nucleotides) under uncultured bacterium. Its description in RNAcentral is "partial small subunit ribosomal RNA". It matches the Rfam family "Bacterial small subunit ribosomal RNA", at positions 26 to 285 of the family's 1533-position model. The record is from RNAcentral.
AGAAUCAACGCUGGCGGCGUGCCUAACACAUGCAAGUCGCACGAGAAAGGGGAGCAAUCCCUGAGUAAAGUGGCGCACGGGUGAGUAACACGUGAAUAAUCUACCUCCGAGUGGGGAAUAAACUGAGAGAAAUCUUAGCUAAUACCGCAUAACACUUACGAGUCAAAGCAGCAAUGCGCUUGGAGAGGAGUUCGCGGCAGAUUAGUUAGUUGGCGGGGUAAUGGCCCACCAAGACGAUGAUCUGUA